Molecule: transfer RNA, 72 nt
Filed under: Ovis aries (sheep)
Lineage: Eukaryota; Metazoa; Chordata; Mammalia; Artiodactyla; Bovidae
Rfam family: tRNA
About the family: Transfer RNA (tRNA) molecules are approximately 80 nucleotides in length. Their secondary structure includes four short double-helical elements and three loops (D, anti-codon, and T loops).
Source: Rfam by way of RNAcentral
UCCCUGGUGGCUCAGAGGGUAAAGCGUCUGCCUACAAUGCAGGAGACCCAGGAUCAAUCCCUAGGUCGGGAA